AUUAAGGUGGCAGAGCCCGGUACUGCAAAAGACCUAAGCCCUUUAUACAGGGGUUCAAAUCCUCUCCUUAAUA
RNAcentral lists this transfer RNA (73 nucleotides) under Rhabdosargus sarba (goldlined seabream). RNAcentral describes it as "tRNA-Leu". It matches the Rfam family "tRNA". From Rfam's summary of the family: Transfer RNA (tRNA) molecules are approximately 80 nucleotides in length. Their secondary structure includes four short double-helical elements and three loops (D, anti-codon, and T loops). Further hydrogen bonds mediate the characteristic L-shaped molecular structure. tRNAs have two regions of fundamental functional importance: the anti-codon, which is responsible for specific mRNA codon recognition, and the 3' end, to which the tRNAs corresponding amino acid is attached (by aminoacyl-tRNA synthetases). tRNAs cope with the degeneracy of the genetic code in two manners: having more than one tRNA (with a specific anti-codon) for a particular amino acid; and 'wobble' base-pairing, i.e. permitting non-standard base-pairing at the 3rd anti-codon position. Lineage: Eukaryota; Metazoa; Chordata; Actinopteri; Spariformes; Sparidae. The record is from RNAcentral.